This is a long non-coding RNA of Acipenser ruthenus (sterlet), 4412 nucleotides long. RefSeq lists it as uncharacterized. Lineage: Eukaryota; Metazoa; Chordata; Actinopteri; Acipenseriformes; Acipenseridae. The record is from RefSeq and is a predicted model, not a curated record. The transcript is spliced from 3 exons.
CGGGUACUGGUGCGAGUGGAGCGGAGGACCGUGAUUCAGAUGGUGGGCAGGCUGCAUAGAUCUGGCCGCAUGAGGGUCCCCAUACAUGGUGGUUGGGAUCCCUACUCCAUCCAUCCCACCAUAGUGAGGUGCACAGUGUGCGAUGAGAGAUAAAAUACACACGAUGGGGAUUCUUGGCAAUUUUUUUACGAAUUCUAGAAUCACAACAACCAUACUUUUUAUAUUGCAAAUCUUUAAAGUCUAAACCAGGCUACAGCAACAAAGUUUAUGUAAAUCACAUUUAAUAUUCGUCUAUAGAUUCUCAUAAAGGUCGAUUUGAUAUGCAGUUAAAUACAUGAGUACUGCCUGCUUUUAGUGUACAGUUUCCAUGAUAAUUAGAAACGUUUCCACAUACUAGUGAGUAUGGGUGUAAUUUUAUUAGCAUUAGAACGUUUGAAUUCAUUGCUACUUUUAAAUAGACAAGUGCGCUUGCUGCCUGCCGUCCAUUUUGGAACCCGUAGAAAAGUAAAUUAAAUCAAUCACACUCAUUGAUGAAUACAUUUUUAAAAAAUUUAUUUUUAAAACUAAUGUCACGAAAACAAAACAUUUGAACUUUCUGAAUCAGGAAGAUAGUGUGUUUAUGGAAACAGUUUAGAGAUUUAAAAACCACCUUUUGUUGACUUGAAACACAAGAUAACUAUUUGGAAAACAUUUUGAGCUACCUGUCAUUUAAUAAAACAUACAAAAGGAAAAACUACACAGAACCUUCUGUUGUAUUCAGACCAGCAGCCUCAAUAUCAGUAAAUUAUAUAGGCUACUGAAUGCAGUCUUCCUAAUUUUAAUUAAUAAAGUGUCUGUUUCAAUUAAUACAUGCUUUGUUUUUUCUCUUGAAUAAUAAUGACAAGUUAACUGGUUACAUUUUUUGAGCCUAUAUAUAGCCCCAAAUUCAUAUUGCUUCUCUCUUGCUGUCAAAUGUGGCCUGAAUGUUUGGGGUUUUGGGGGUGUCUUAUAAGGAAAAAUCAACAAACUGACGUCAUUGUAGAGUGAGAGAAGGACUGCAUUGUCUUGAAAGUGUUCAAUACCUUAUUAAAGGAAUGAAAUGAACCCACCUCAUAAUACACUGUGGCAAAAGCUAUUUUCUAUUUGUGAAGCAGGCUAGUGCUCAAUUUUCACAUUAGUGUCUGAAGUUAUUGGAUAAUGUCUGUCAUGUGUGAGUGUUGUUUCUUCCAGGAUGAUUGCUUAUAUAGGACUUUUCAUAUAUGUGCAACUCACAAGACACCCGACAUUAACAAUCCCUUUCUCAGAACUGAAAAAAAGGAAUCUGAAACAAGAGAGCAUUUGUCACCGAGGCUAUUAUUUCAGGUGUGCUAAUGGGAUUAGAACUGUGUGAAAAAUCAGAGGAUUCGUGCGCUUCCAUUUUCCAGAUACUACCCACAUUUGCUGUCUGCAGCACACUGAUGUACCCCAGAGGUGAAAAGUGAAGGCAACUACUCAGCUGCACUGGUACCAAAUUGAGAGGCUAUGUCACAUGCAGGCCAAUCAUAAAGUGCAGGAACAAGUCUCACACCUCCCUGGGAGACUGUUAAUUGAUCGGCACCUGAGAAGAAGAGGGAGAGGGAGAAGGGGGCUAGUGUGCGUGGGUGUGAAGAAAUGUAUUUCCUGCAAGGACACAGGGAGGAUCCAAUCAUCUUGGUAAGAUCUGAGUAAAUGGUGUAUGAUGAAUAAAGAAAACAAUAAAAAACACACAAAUUACAAUUAGUUUCAUUUUAAUUAAUAUCACUGUUGCUUAUAUAGAUUGGAAAGGUAUACAAAGCCAAGGCCUUAAAGCAUUUUCUUACUCAUUAGCAUAGCAUCAUUAUGACAAGGCUUUAAUUGUUUUGAUUUUGGCAAAGACACAGUGCUUCAAGCCUGAUAGAAGUAAAUCUCUCUCUCUCUCUCUCUCUCUCUCUCUCUCUCUCUCUCUCUCUCUCUCUCUCUCUCUCUCCAUUAAGUUCUGGGCUACAUUUUAUAGAACACAUUUUGAAAAAAGUAAUAGCCGGAAACCAAACUUUUCUUCUGUAAACUAAUCUCCUCCUACUUCUACUGCCGCUGCUGCACUGUGCUCACCUCAACCUCCAAACAGAAAAUGGCUCCCCUCUGGUAUUGCAGCAGAUUACAGCCAGUUUAUACUAUAUAUCUGCCCAUUGGUAACAUGACUUAUGUGGACAAAAAAUAACCACUGUUUAAAACAUCCAAAUACAUAUAUCAAAAUGCAAUCUGGAUUAUCUGCUAGCAGUAUUUGUCUGGAUUUAUAAACAGCAAUAACAUUGGUAUAUUUUCAUUUGUUUAAGGAAUAUUUCUUAAGUAGAUUUCCCUUCAUUCAACCAGGGUAUUUAUCUACCCAUAUACAGUAGAACCUCAAUGUUAGAGACACAUCAGGACUGGAGAUUGUUCAUAAGUCUGAAAUGUCGGUAACUCUUAAACUUGCACUAUUACCAAUGAUGUGUAUUGAAUUCAUACAAGGUCUGGAGAGCUGUGUUAAACUAGUCAAAUUCCCAGCAUCUGACAUGUCAUAUACUGUAGCUAGGAGCCCUGUUUGUGGUUUCAAGUGAUGCGUUGGUUGAAUGACCAGUUCAUAAAUAUGAGGUUCUACUGUACUUAGACACUGUACUAUCCUUACAUGAGGGUAUGUGUAAUGCAGAAUUAGUUUUACAACCAGGGACAGUCACCUGGUCACCACGUCUCAUUUACAAAGGUGUCCAGAGGAAUAUAGAUGAGACAGUCGUGCCACAUUCACACGUUGCUUAGAUUGGUUACCUGCCCUUAAAAGUCCCCCAGAACAAAUCCCCUGAACAAAUGUUCUUGAAACUGAACAAAUGUCUUUCCAACUGGGUUUUUAACCACGUCUGGAGAUGUUUUGUGUAUCUAGGUGGAAAGUUGAUUCUGUUUCUACCAGGUGCAAAGGAAGCCACUCCCCUUUAAAAGAUGACAUCUGGUUUGGAGAAUUAUUACUUGCAUCUGUCCUUUUGUUUUUCUAAUUAAACUGUAAACCCCAGCACAGAAAGCAUUCAUUUUUAGUCAUUUCUUAAGAGUGAUUUAUUUAGUGAAAGGUUUCCCGCAUUAGUUAAAAGUAAUCUUGUAAAUCACUGGUGUCAUUGAAGAAUUUCAUCACUCCCAUUAAUUUAAAAGAUUAUCAGAGGCAUAAGUGACUUAAUUUUAAACAAUGCUACAUGGUUAACUUAUUAAUGUAAAAAAGCAGGCAAGACAUUUGAACAGUUUGAUUUAUUUUUUAUAAUUGCAUCAUUUUUGACUUUCAAGAAUGGAAUAUGUGGCUCAAUGCUUUUCCACAAUUUAACAAAAUGAUACUCUCCGCUGUGUUGUUGACUGAGAUAAGGUUGAGCAAGAUGAAUAUGUAAGAAACAUCUUGUUACAAAAUAUUUCAGAAAAACAAUUGCGCAUCCUCCAAGAUGCUUCAUUCAAAGGCACUACCUCAUAGUACAUGAACCUUCGGCUCAGGGUGUUACCUGCAGAAUCAGUCAACUACUCGACAAUAGAAACCUCUGAACUUUCAUCAGCCAAUCAGAAGGAAUGCAUUUCAGGUCAACAGGAAGAAUGCCUGAUUAUUUCAAGUUUUACUGUUGUGGAUAUGAGCCUGCUAAAUCCUAAAUAUUUUUUAAUAUUUGCAGUAGUCUAUAAAAAGUAACAUACACUUAUGCACACUACAGCAUUGACUGCACAGGAAGAAAAUACACUUUGCACACUAUAGCAGUGACAAUAGAUACACCCAGUACUUUACUGACCAACUGUGCAUACAUUACACAACAUUUGUGUAUUAUCUGACACUGCACCAGUUCAUUCAAAGUCAUGGCUUACACAACGAUGAUGUUUAAUAUUGUGUUUUCUCAUGAAAACUUUGUUAAGUUGUGUAACAACCUGUAUUUUAUUACAGGCGUGUAAGAGCCACUACUUCAUUAAGUGAGCCACAAAGUGCAAAUCUAGUUGCACAACAUUCCUAUUUGUAUCACUACAGCAAAACGAUCUGUCUUAGUAACUGUUUAUCUUUCCUAACCUUUUUUUUUAAUUGAUUAACAGUUGUCAUUUAACUAUCAGAAAAUAGAUUGAUACUCCCUAGGAGGCUGCUUCUCACUCAAAUGGUUUACACGAAUCCAACCAUGUCUGUGUUCCUCAUGUGACCAAGUUUGAACUUGCAGUUGAGUGAAAAGUAAAAAGAAGUAAAGUAAUAUCUCUGGCAAAUAAUGUUAAUAAAAUGUGUUCACUGACAUCCAGCAUUUUAUUCCCUUGGCGGUCUUUGUUUGUACAUUGUAUAUUGAGUUCUUUCACCUGAUACUAAUCUUUUUUUAAUGCAUGCAGUAUGUUUUUAAAUAUGCUUUUAAAUUAUUUCAGCCAAUUAAAUGAAUUAUGCUUCUUUAAUUACUAACAUACACUUACAGCCA